Molecule: ribosomal RNA, 253 nt
Filed under: uncultured bacterium
Lineage: Bacteria
Description: partial 16S ribosomal RNA
Rfam family: Bacterial small subunit ribosomal RNA
Source: RNAcentral
UACGUAGGGUGCAAGCGUUAAUCGGAAUUACUGGGCGUAAAGCGUGCGCAGGCGGUUUUGUAAGCCAGAUGUGAAAUCCCCGAGCUUAACUUGGGAACUGCAUUUGGGACUGCAAAGCUGGAGUACGGCAGAGGGAGGUGGAAUUCCACGUGUAGCAGUGAAAUGCGUAGAGAUGUGGAGGAACACCGAUGGCGAAGGCAGCCUCCUGGGCUAGUACUGACGCUCAUGCACGAAAGCGUGGGGAGCAAACAGG